GGUUUGUGUGUGCAUAAGGUGUAUAUAAGUAGCUUAGGCCUCAUUGAGUGUUUCAUCCCUAAAGCAGUGAGAGUUAAGGGGCUAUUCUACCUAUCACUACUUCUCCCUAAAUAGCCCAACCCAAUGAUCAUGGCCAAAAUCAAGUUUCCUUGCAUCAAUUGUGCUUUCCUUCUUAUACUAGUUUUGAUUCAUCAUGGAAUCAUACCUUCUGAAGGAAGGCAAUUCAUGAAGACAGAGAACGUUGGCAAUAAUGGGAAUGAAAUGAGGAAAGAUCAUAUAGCCACAAACUUUAUUCUCCACUCUGAACCAUUAGCCCACAAUCUUGCAGCUACUAAUUAUUUCAGACCUACAACACCGGGCCCGAGCCCUGGCAUUGGAAAUCCGCCCCAUUAGCCAAAAGCAUAGCUGUGUAAUUUAGGUGUUUAAACUAGAAUAAAGCAUUGCUGCUAUAUGUUAGCUUUAUGUGCUGAGUACUUAUAUCAAUGCCCAUAAAACAUGUAGCUCGAUUGGCUAUCUAGGACAACACCUCAUUGAGUGUGGUGACUAGUUAAAAUCAUAAGGCCACUAUAUAUAUAGUUGGAGCUGCACUAUCGUAAGUUCAACGACUUUUUUGUAUGGUUGAUAUUUUAAGAUGUUUUCAAGUCACCUUUAAUGUUCAAAAAAGGUGAAGUGCUCAUUGUUUGUUUGAAUGUUUUAUUAUUAAGAGAUAACAUUAAUAGGUUCUACUUUUUUUGUUUGAAUGUUUUAUUAUUAAGAGAUAACAUUAAUUGGUUCUACUUUCUUUUUUUUUCUUGUUUCAUGCAUUUAGUCAAGAAACGAAUUCACCGAGAAGAAAAUAUAGUCGUUAAUCAAGCCUCAAGAAUGAUUUCAUUAUCUAUAGUAAUCGGGAAAAAUAAAAUAAAAUAAUAAUAAAAUAAUAAAAUAAUAAAAUAAAAUAAAUUAAUUAAAUUAACAAGUAAAAUGAAUAGUAUGAUAAGGAAAUAUAUAUAUAUAUAUAUAUAUGUAAGUUAUUAUGAUAUAUAUGUAAUAUAUAUAAAGUUGUACAAGCUUCUCCAAGAAGCUUUGCUUCAAUUAAGUAAGUUAUUAUAUUAUUAAAAUAUAUAAUUGUACAAGCCUCUCUAGGAAGGCCCAUUGUUCUCUCUCUCUCUCUCCCUCCUACGACUCUCUCUCUCUCUCUCUCUCUCUCUCUCUCUCUCUCUAUCUCUCUCUCUCUCUCUCUCUCUCUCUCUCUCUCUCUCUCUCUCUUCGAUUUCAGGCCAGUUUUAAGCCGGAUCGACAAACCAAAGCCACCACGACGCUCCUGGUAAAGUUCUCUACAAGUCUGCCGAAGCGGAUCGUCAGGGAAACGAAGUUAGAUUUUAUCCUAAAUCCAAGGGAUGUUGAAUUGGGAACGUUGGGAAUCAUCCCUAAGUUGAGGGUUGUUGAGUUGGGAACCUUGCGGGUGCAGGGAAGAUUUUCUUAGGGUCUUUGCAGGAAUCAGGUAAGGGGAUAAACUAAACUAGUUCUUCUUGAGAAAAUGCAUGUAUAAAUAUAUAUGUAGCAUUUGGUUUUAGGAAAAAUAUAUAUAUUUAUAUAUAUUUAUGAUUUAUAUUUGGAAAAUACAGUUUAAAUGAUGAUAUGUUGAAUACGUGGAAAAUUUGUUCAGUGUGGCAUGAGUAUAAAAAUGUUGUGAAAUACUAUUUUCUGGGAAUGUGGAUGAUAUGAAUUUUUAUGAUAGAAAAUCGGCGUACGGGCCGAGAUUUUUAUAUGAUUUGCCAGUGUACGGGCCGCGCUAUGUGACUGUGAUGUGCCAGCGUACGGGCUGUGCUAUGAUUUGCUGACGUACGGGUCGUGCUAUAUGACUGUGAUUCGCCAACGUACGGGCUGUGCUAUGAUUUCCCGGCGUAUGAGCCGUGGUAUGUGACUGUGAUUUGCCGGCGUACGAGCCGUGCUAUGUGGAUGUGAUUUGCUAGUAUACGGGCUGUGCUAUGUUUGCCGGCGUACGGGCCGAACUAUGAUAAAAUGUGUAAUAUCGGCGUAUGGGCCGAUGAUUUUCAUCAUACAUGUAUACAUGCAAAAUGAUAUGAAUGAUGUGAAAAUAAAUGAUAUGAGAUAUCUAUGUCUCACAAUUUUAGUAUAUGUUAUAUGAUAUCAGAACCUGGUUGGCUUGGUCUAGGCUAGCACUUGCACGGUACCGCUGCUAUAUGUCCAUGGUCUUCGUGAUCAUGAUAUUUGUGUUAACGCCAUUGUAUGGAGUGGUGUGAGAUUAGAUGGUCGAUGGGGUUUAUAAGAAGUGUGCUGAUCGCCCUUGGUGUAUAGACCAGGUCUGGCAGACCCAUAGGACUUACAGACUAUGUUUGACUUGGCAGUGGUCGGCCAACCAUUAUAAGGUCCCGCCUUCGGGCCACUCAACCCAGUCAUGUGGGGGUAAUACAUGACAACAGCCAACUAACCUACCAGGAAUGUUUUUGUGAUAUUAGUAUUGUAUGAGAUGAGAUAUGUUUAUGAAAAUGCAAUAUGUUCUGCCAUGUGUUGAUAUAUAUAUAUAUAUAUAUAUAUAUGUUUUCCAGAUUUGAUGAAAUAGUACUGAAUAUGUUAUGUAUGAGAUAUGUUGAACACAGAAUACUCAUGUUGCCACACACUAGUAUUAGUUUAUUUCCCUUACUGAGAGGUGUCUCACCCCUAAAUCUUAUUAACUUUUCAGGAACCCCAGAUAGGAGAGCGGGAAAAGCCCCACUGAUAUAGUACUCUUUAAUCUGCCCUUUUUGAAGGGUAAGUUUUGUAGGGGCAGUUAGAUUUUUGGGGAAAUGUCCCUAGGUUUUAUUUUUGGGAUGUAUAUACUGAGAUACAAUAGUUAUGGUAACUCUGGUAUUGUGAUGUAUGAUAUGAUGGUAUGUAUAUGAUUGUAUAUUUUCUGCUGUUUAGGCUUCCGUUUUGUGCUCUGAUGUAUCCCUGUUACCCACGGAUCCAGGUGGAUGGUGACCUACUGAGCUGGAAUGUAUGACGUUGAUAUUGUUAUUAUAAAAAAAAAAUAUAGAAAAUGAACAGGUCGUGACAGUUUGGUAUCAGAGCCUAGGUUGCUAGGUUCUGUAGACUUUAGAACGUAGGAGAAACAAUACCAGAGUUUAGGAAAUAAUUUGAGGUUUUGUUCUAUAGUGUGGAAGCAGGACUUCCGUGGUAGUUUCUGUGUUUUUCUUGGGGUGACAAUUUCAGGAAAACCAUAGUAAGCUGUUGUCGGGUUGUGUUCCUAAAAUGUAGGACUAGGGAUUAGAAAUGAGUUAAAAAUGUUGAGAUAAGUGGUGAGGAUAGGUGGGUAAAUUAUGAGGAUAGGAUUACUGAAUUGCAACUGCUAUUUUCCAAGAUGGAUCCAGAAGGAAAUAGUGCCCUUGCGAGUGGCAGUGAUGGAGCAGGAGCAUCAGGUGCAGCUAGGACCAACUCUGACGCGGUAUUACGUAGUGUGGCUCAGCAGGUUAUGGCUGAGAUCGCUAGGAGUUCGAGGGAGCAGAGUGGUCCAUCUGUAGGCCAUGGGUGCACCAUAGAGAAGUUCACGAAGAUAAAUCCUCCAGUGUUCUCAGGUGGAUUUGAUCCUAUAGCCACUGAGAACUAGAUGUAGGAGAUUGAGAAGAUCUUGGUUGUACUGCAGUGUACAGAGGAACAGAGGGUCCUCUUUGCCACCUAUAGAUUGACAGGAGAGGCUGAGAGGUGGUGGACUACGGUGAGACUAUUGGAGCAGCAGAGGGUGACUCCGAUAGCUAUGACAUGGGACCGGUUUAAAGAUCUGUUCUUUGAUAAAUAUUUUCCAGGUACUGUGAAGGAGGCUAAAGUAGAAGAGUUCCUGAGUCUGAAGUAGGGACAGCUAUCCGUCCAGCAGUAUGCAGCGCGUUUCAUCAAGCUCUCUUGUUUCGCCCCAUACAUUGUUCCUGAUGAGGUGAAGAAGGCAAAGCAGUUUGAGAGAGGCUUGAGGCGGAGUAUAUUCAAGCAGGUAGUGGUGCUGCGGAUCCAGGACUUUGUUGAGUUAGUCGACAGGGCAGCCUUGGCAGAGGUUGGUGAGCGACUUGAUGCAGAGGAGCAGGGACAGAGGAAGAGAUCUGCAUCUACCGGCUAUCGACAGGGUCAUAGACCAGACCAGUGAAGAAGAGGAAACCAUAGCAAAGGACGGAGACAGGAGACGGGAGGACGCGAGAUGCAGACAGGGUAGGGUCCUCCAGUCUGUCAUAUUUGUGGUAGGAGGCACUGGGGAGAGUGUCGAGCUGGUGGUGUAGUGUGCCAUCGCUGCGGUAGAUCGAGGCAUAUAGUGCGAGAUUGUCCUACCCCACCGGAUGCAGCUCCGGUGUGCUAUCCCUGUGGUAGAUCGGGGCACAUGGUAUGAGACUGCCCUACCCCACCAGAUGCAGUUCCAACUCCUAGACCACAUCAGGGAGGCUAUUAGGCGCCAUAUGGGGGUUAGUAGAGGAAUACAACACCAGCUAGAGUGUUUACUCUGAUGCCGAUUGAGGCUGAGACGUUAGGUGACGUAGUGACAAGUAUGGUCAUUAUGCUUUCUUUUAAAGUUAUUGCAUUAUUUGAUUCAGGAGCUACACACUCGUUCAUGUCUUUGGGGUGUGUUAAAUUAUGUGGGGUUGAAACAGAAUCAUUAGAUGUUGAACUAUUGGUAUCUACACCGACUGGGUCGAUAGUAAGAUGUAGUAGGGUACUUCGAGAUUGUCAAGUUGGUAUUCAAGGGAAGGCUUUGUCUGCCGAUUUGAUAGUGCUAGACAUGCACGGGUUUGAUGUUAUAUUUAUCAUGGAUUGGCUAGCAGCUAAUUUUUCCAACAUAGAUUGCCGCGCACGAGAAGUGAUAUUCAGAUCUCCGGGGGAAGUAGAAUUUAAGUUCGUAGGGUCACAAGUACAAUCCCCGCCUCAGCUAGUUUCAGCUAUUCAGGCCAGGAGACUAUUACUGAGUGGGUGUUAGGGGUUUGUGGCUGUGGUGAAAGAGAUGUCAGAAAAUGAAUUGAAACUUGCUAGCAUGCCUAUAGUAAAGGAGUUUACAGAUGUUUUCCAAGAUGAGUUACCAGGCUUGCCACCCGAUCGAGAGGUAGAUUUUUCCAUAGAUCUACUUCCAGGUACAUCACCUAUUUCCAAAGUACCUUAUCGAAUGGUGCCAGUAGAGUUGGCAAAAUUAAAAAAUCAAUUGGAAGAUCUGCUUGAUAAGGGCUUCAAACGACCCAGUGUAUCUCCGUGGAGAGCUCCGGUGUUAUUUGUGAAGAAGAAAUAUAGGACUAUGAGGAUGUGUAUAGACUACAGGGAAAUUAAUAAAGUAACAAUCAAGAACAAGUAUCCUCUACCCCGUAUUGACGAUUUGUUUGACCAGCUUUAGGGUAUACAGGUGUUUUCGAAGAUUGACCUCAGAUCCGGAUACCAUCAGGUGAAAGUGAAAGCAGAAGACGUCUCGAAGACGGCCUUCAGGACCCGGUACGGGCAUUAUGAGUUUCUCGUUAUGCCGUUUGGAUUGACGAAUGCUCCUACGGUAUUUAUGAACUUGAUGAAUAGAGUCUUUCAUCGAUACCUAGACCAAUCUCUUGUUGUUUUUAUUGAUGAUGUACUGGUCUAUUCGAGGAGCUAUGAGGAGCAUGAGCACCUGAGGUAGGUUUUGCAGACACUUCGGGAAAAGAAGUUGUACGCCAAGUUUAGUAAAUGUGAAUUUUGGCUUGAGAAGGUUGUGUUCUUGGGGCAUGUUAUAUUUGGAGACAGUAUUUCUGUGGAUCCUAGCAAGAUUAAGGCAGUAGUGAAUUGGGCUAGACCGAGAAAUGUCCAGGAGAUCAGGAGUUUCUUGGGGCUAGCUAGAUAUUACCGUCGUUUCGUUGAGGGAUUCUCAGCUUUGUCAGGACCCUUGACACGACUAAUGAGGAAGAAUGUCAAAUUUGAGUGGGACGACUGCUGUGAGCAGAAUUUUCAAGAGCUGAAGCAGAGGUUAGUCACAGCACCAGUUUUGGUUAUCCCAUCUGAGGGUGAGGGGUAUGUCAUUUAUUGUGAUGCAUCCUUGAAAGGACUUGGCUGUGUAUUGAUGCAGCAUGGCAAGGUACUUACGUAUGCAUCCAAGCAGUUGAAAGAAUAUGAGAAGAACUACCCUACACAGGAUCUUGAAUUGGUUGCAGUAGUACACGCAUUGAAAAUUUGGAGGCAUUACCUGUAUGGCGAGCAGUGUAAGAUUUUCUCUGACCACAAGAGCUUAAAGUAUUUCUUCACGCAAAAGGAACUGAAUAUGAGGCAGAGAAGGUGGCUAGAGUUGAUUAAGGAUUUUGAUUGUACCAUCAGUUAUCACCCGGGGAAAGCGAAAGUGGUAGCUGAUGCAUUGAGCAAGAAAUCCAAGGAGUCAGUGUUGGCGGCUAUGGGGAUUCAGCAUCCGAUCAUAAUGGAUCUGGAGAGAUUUGGCAUAGAAUUAGUAAAGAGUGAUCUCCGAGUAUGUAUUGCCAGCCUAGUGGUACAGCCUACUCUGCAAUAAAGAAUUAAAGUCGCUCAAAAGGAAGAUCCAGUAUUAGCAGAGGUGAUAUGCAGAGUACAGAUGGGUCAGGGGGAGGAUUUCAGUAUUGCAGAUGAUAGAGUUUUGCAGUUCCAUUCCUGAUUAUGCGUUCCUACCGAUACUGAGAUCAGAAAGACUAUUUUUAGAAGAAGCUCAUAGAUCUUUGUAUACUGUUCAUCCUGGUAGUACGAAGAUGUAUAAAGACUUGCGAGAAACAUUCUGGUGGAGUGGCAUGAAGAGAGAAAUCACCGAGUAUGUAGCCCAGUGUUUGACGUGCCAGCAGGUAAAGGCUAAGCACCAGAGGCCGGCAGGGUAGUUGCAGCCGUUAUUCAUCCCAGAGUGGAAGUGGGAUCAUAUAUCGAUGGAUUUUGUGUCAGGACUGCCGAUGGCAUUACAUGGCCAGAAUGCCAUCUGAGUGAUUGUUGACCGUUUGACUAAAACCGCCCACUUUAUACCUAUCAAGAUCAACUACUCCCUUAACCGUUUAGCGGAGAUUUACAUUCAGGAGAUAGUACGUUCUCAUGGGGUGCUAGUAUCGAUUGUGUCGGAUAGAGACCCGCGAUUUACAUCACGAUUUUGGAGGAGUUUGCAGGAGGCUUUGGGGUCUCAGUUAUCAUUUAGUACGGCAUUCCAUCCUUAGCCAGACAGGCAAACUGGGAGAACGAUAUAGAUAUUAGAGGACAUGCUCCGAGCAUGUGUAUUAGACUUUGGGGGUAGUUGGACUCAGUUCAUGUCGCUAGUAGAGUUUGCGUAUAAUAACAGUUAUCAGUCCAUCAUUGGCAUGGCACCAUUUGAGGCUCUAUACGGUAGGAGAUGUCGAUCUCCUUUGUUUUGGGAUGAAGUGGGUGAGUGACGAGUUGUGGGGCCAGAGUUGGUUCAGCAGGCGCGUGAUAAGGUUCGGCUUAUUAGAGACAGGAUCAGUGCAGCUUAGAGCUGACAGAAGAGUUAUGCCGACCAUCACCGCAGGAAUUUAGAAUUCAAUGUGGGUAAUCAUGUGUUUCUAAAGAUAGCUCCGAUGAAAGGGGUUAUGCGAUUUGGGAAGAAAGGUAAACUUAGUCCUAAGUUUAUCGAUCCAUUUGAGAUUCUAGAUAAAGUGGGGCCGGUAGCCUAUAGGCUAGCUUUACCACCUGUGUUAUCCAGGAUCCACGACGUAUUCCAUGUUGCUAUGUUGAGGAAAUACGUCCCAGAUCCUUCUCAUAUCAUCAGUUAUGAUGAAUUGGAGCUUAGUGAUUCACUAGGGUACGAGGAGGUACCAGUACAGAUUCUGGAUAGGAAAGUACAGGAGCUACGUAAUAAGAAAAUUUCUCGGGUAAAGGUUUUAUGGAGGAAUCAUGUGAUAGAAGAGGCUUCUUGGGAAUCCGAGGAGCAAAUGGGACAGAGAUAUCCGCAUCUAUUCUAAGAAAGUUGAUGGGAUAAAAUGCAAGUAGUUAGGUAGUUUCUUUUACAGGUACAUGUAAUGGUUUAAUUAGUGUAGUAUUUUAGUUUUGGGAGAAUGGUUUUCUUUUGUAUAUGUAAUCUUCCAAGACUCAAAAUCUCGAAAUGUAACCACAGUAUUCCUCCGCCAUGAGUGAGGGUAGGUAAUAAAAUGAGUAAACCCUUUCCCCUGGUUAAAGGAUGGCGAGUUACGGGAACAGUAAAUUUCGAGGACGAAAUUCUUUUAAGGGGGGAGGAAUGUAGUAAUCGGGAAAAAUAAAAUUUAAAAAAAAUAAAAUAAUAAUAAAAUAAUAAAAUAAAAUAAAAUAAUUAAAUUAACAAGUAAAAUGAAUAGUAUGAUAAGGAAAAUAUAUAUAUUUAUAUAUAUAUUGAAACAUAUAUAUAUAUAUAUGUGUGUAUAUAUAUACAUAUAUAUAUAUAUAUAUAUAUAAAGUUGUACAAGCUUCUCCAAGAAGUUUUGCUUCAAUUAGUAAGUUAUUAUAAUAUUAAUAUAUAUAAUUGUACAAGACUCUCUAGGAAACCCCAUUGUUCUCUCUCUCUCUCUCUCUCUCUCUCUCUCUCUCUCUCUCUCUCUCUCUCUCUCUCUCUCUCUCUCUCUUCGAUUUCAGACCAGUUAUAAGCCGGAUCAACAAACCGAAGCCACCACGACGCUCAUGGCAAAGUUCUCUACAAGUCUGCCGAAGCGGAUCGUCAGGGAAACGAAGUUGGAUUUUAUCCCAAAUCCAAGGGAUGUUGAAUUGGGAACGUUGGGAAUCAUCCCUAAGUUGAGGGUUGUUGAGUUGGGAACCCUGCGGGUGCAGGGAAGAUUUUCUUGGGGACUUUGCAGGAAUCAGCGUACGGGUUGUGCUAUGAUUUGUCGACGUACGGGCCGUGCUAUAUGACUAUGAUUUGCCAGCGUACGGGUUGUGCUAUGAUUUGCCGGCGUACGGGCCGUGCUAUGUGACUGUGAUUUUCCGGCGUACAGGCCGUGCUAUGUGGAUGUGAUUUUCCAGCGUACGGGUUGUGCUAUGUUUGCCGGCAUACGAGCCAAGCUAUGAUAAAAUGUGUAAUACCGACGUACGGGCUGAUGAUUUUCAUGAUACAUGUAUAUAUGUAAAAUGAUAUGAUUGAUGUGAGAAUAAAUGAUAUGAGAUAUCUAUGUA
Long non-coding RNA from Malania oleifera, 9054 nucleotides. RefSeq lists it as uncharacterized. The record is from RefSeq and is a predicted model, not a curated record. The transcript is spliced from 6 exons. NCBI's taxonomy places the organism in Eukaryota, Viridiplantae, Streptophyta, Magnoliopsida, Santalales, Ximeniaceae.